AAGUCGUAACAAGGUUUCCGUAGGUGAACCUGCGGAAGGAUCAUUAGAAAUUUUUUAUGUAAUCAAAAUUUCAAUCGUUAUAAAAAAAAAUUUUUAUUUAUAUAAAAUAAAAAAAGACAACUUUCAACAACGGAUCUCUUGGCUCUU
RNAcentral lists this unclassified non-coding RNA (147 nucleotides) under fungal sp. Its description in RNAcentral is "partial internal transcribed spacer region". The stretch from base 1 to 46 matches the Rfam family "Eukaryotic small subunit ribosomal RNA", at positions 1786 to 1831 of the family's 1831-position model. Lineage: Eukaryota; Fungi. The record is from RNAcentral.